This 253-nucleotide ribosomal RNA is filed under the name uncultured bacterium. RNAcentral's name for it is "partial 16S ribosomal RNA". It matches the Rfam family "Bacterial small subunit ribosomal RNA", at positions 524 to 776 of the family's 1533-position model. The record is from RNAcentral.
UACGUAGGUGGCAAGCGUUGUCCGGAUUUACUGGGCGUAAAGAGCGCGCAGGCGGUCGGAUAAGUCGAAUGUGAAAGCUCCCGGCUUAACUGGGAGAGGUCAACGGAAACUGCUAGGCUAGAGUGCGGUAGAGGUAGCUGGAAUUCCCGGUGUAGCGGUGAAAUGCGUAGAUAUCGGGAGGAAUACCUAUGGCGAAAGCAGGCUACUGGACCGUCACUGACUCUGAUCUGCGAAAGCUAGGGGAGCAAACAGG